ACUGAUAUAGACAAAGGAUUUUAAACAGGAUUAUGGUCAAUUAAGCAAAUUAGAAAAGGAUACUUGAAGGAGUAUUUGGGACACAGGAAUCAAAAACACCAGGAAGACAUGAGGAGUUUCCCUAAGACUCUAGACUACAGCACUACAUAGGUAACUAACACCAGGCUAUGUAUUAUAUUAUUGAAGAAAUAAAAUUGACAUUGAAUUACAAACUGUUCACAAAAAGUCAUGAAAAUCUUGUAGACUUGAUUCAAUUCAGACAAAUGUGUCCUUCUCAUUCUCAGCUGUUCACUGGUGCAUUUGUCUUGAAUUUGACCAUCUGGGGAAUGGGCGUGGUCUCUCCUGACAAGAAGGCUCUGGGGCCCAGGCAGGGAGAAUGACAUCUCAGAAUGAUUCCCUUGAGAGUCCUGUUGCCCUUUCAUCAAUGCACAGAACCAGAAGACCCCUCCGUCCUGUAGCACCUGCCAUGAGCAUUGAGCUCCUGUGUUGUGCGGCCUUUUCUCUCCUGUGGACAGGUGGGUCCUGGGCAGGGACCCUUGUGUGGAUUUCAUGGCCCAGCCCCUUUCCAUUGGGGCUGCAGCAUCAGCUUUGUUCUUCUCUGCAGGUCCAGUGAAUGCUGGUGUCACUCAGACACCAAAAUUCCAGGUCCUGAAGACAGGACAGAGCCUGACAGUGCAGUGUGCCCAGGAUAUGAAACAUGACUACAUGUUCUGGUAUCGACAAGACCCAGGCAUGGGGCUGAGACUGAUUUAUUACUCAGUUACUGCUGGUAUCACUACCAAAGGAGAAGUCCCCAAUGGCUACAAUGUCUCCAGAAUAAACACAGAGGAUUUCCUGCUCAGGCUGGAGUCGGCUGAUCCCUCCCAGACAUCUGUGUACUUCUGUGGCAGCAGUUACUCCACAGCAUUACAAGGCUGUCUCCUCUCCGCACAUGAAAGCAGGGAGGCUCUGUCCUCCUCCCCCACCCAAGACUCAGGGAUGCCCUGGGCAGAGUUUUCUGGAACAGGAACCUUGGAACCCCAAGUGGCCCCAACUGGUCCAGACAGUAUGAGCCUCGCUCUGUGCCAGGCGCCUCUGCAGGCAGUCUCAGCCAGGCCUGGACUGCUCCAGGUCCUCAGAUGUCUCCUUUGUUGCUCUCUCUGGUCUAUCCUCUGA
Molecule: non-coding RNA, 1155 nt
Organism: Macaca mulatta (Rhesus monkey)
Lineage: Eukaryota; Metazoa; Chordata; Mammalia; Primates; Cercopithecidae
Source: the annotation of a RefSeq genome assembly